Molecule: transfer RNA, 73 nt
Filed under: bacterium
Lineage: Bacteria
Also listed under: 3 other names
Description: tRNA-Ala
Rfam family: tRNA
About the family: Transfer RNA (tRNA) molecules are approximately 80 nucleotides in length. Their secondary structure includes four short double-helical elements and three loops (D, anti-codon, and T loops).
Source: RNAcentral
GGGGCCGUAGCUCAGUUGGGAGAGCGCUUGAAUGGCAUUCAAGAGGUCGAGAGUUCGAUUCUCUUCGGCUCCA